GAUGAACGCUGGCGGCGUGCCUAAUACAUGCAAGUCGAGCGAACGGACGAGAAGCUUGCUUUUCUGAUGUUAGCGGCGGACGGGUGGGUAACACGUGGAUAACCUACCUAUAAGACUGGGAUAACUUCGGGAAACCGGAGCUAAUACCGGAUAAUAUUUUGAACCGCAUGGUUCAAAAGUGAAAGACGGUCUUGCUGUCACUUAUAGAUGGAUCCGCGCUGCAUUAGCUAGUUGGUAAGGUAACGGCUUACCAAGGCAACGAUGCAUAGCCGACCUGAGAGGGUGAGCGGCCACACUGGAACUGAGACACGGAGCCGACUAGUACGGGAGGCAGCAGGAGGGAAUCUGCCGCAAUGGGCGAAAGCCUGACGGAGCAAGGCGGAGUGAGUGAUGAAGGUCUUCGGAUCGUAAAAAUCUGUUAUUAGGGAAGAAAAAAUGUGUAAGUAACUAUGCACGUCUUGACGGUACCUAAUAAGAAAGCCACGGCUAACUACGUG
RNAcentral lists this ribosomal RNA (497 nucleotides) under uncultured bacterium. RNAcentral describes it as "partial 16S ribosomal RNA". It matches the Rfam family "Bacterial small subunit ribosomal RNA", at positions 28 to 507 of the family's 1533-position model. The record is from RNAcentral.